GACGACGCUGGCGGCGUGCCUAACACAUGCAAGUCGAGCGGGGUUGUCUCUGGCACUGAGUAUUUGGGAAGGUUAAAGGGACAAAAUAUUCAGUGCUGGAGAUAACCUAGCGGCGGACGGGUGAGUAACACGUGGGUAACCUGCCUUUGACUGGGGGAUAACAGCCAGAAAUGGCUGCUAAUACCGCAUAAGCGCACAGCAUCGCAUGAUGUGGUGUAGAAAAGCGUCAGUGGUGUGAGAUGGAUCCGCGUCUGAUUAGCUAGUUGGUAGGGUAAGAGCCUACCAAGGCGACGAUCAGUAGCCGGCCUGAGAGGGUGAACGGCCACAUUGGGACUGAGACACGGCCCAAACUCCUACGGGAGGCAGCAGUAGGGAAUUUUCCGCAAGUGGGGGAAACCCUGACGGAGCAACGCCGCGUGAGGGAAGAAGGUCUUCGGAUCGUAAACCUUUGUCAUCGGGGACGAUCAUGACGGUACCCGAGGAGGAAGCCCCGGCUAACUACGUG
RNAcentral lists this ribosomal RNA (505 nucleotides) under uncultured bacterium. RNAcentral describes it as "bacterial SSU rRNA". It matches the Rfam family "Bacterial small subunit ribosomal RNA", at positions 33 to 507 of the family's 1533-position model. The record is from RNAcentral.